This 292-nucleotide ribosomal RNA is filed under the name uncultured alga. Its description in RNAcentral is "partial 23S ribosomal RNA". It matches the Rfam family "Bacterial large subunit ribosomal RNA", at positions 2098 to 2388 of the family's 2925-position model. The record is from RNAcentral.
GCUUGACUGUAUCUUGGAACUGGGUUCGGGCUUUUCUUGCGCAGACUAGGUGGGAGGCUAUGAAGAUUUUCUUCUGGGAAAGUUGGAGCCAACAGUGAGAGACCACUCUGGAAAGGCUAGAAUCCUAAUGGUGAUCCUUGAAUCAGGACACUUGACAGUUUCAGGUGGGCAGUUUUUCUGGGGCGGAAGCCUCAUAAAAGGUAACUGAGGCGCGCAAAGGUCCCCUCAGUCUGGACGGAAAUCAGACAUUGAGUGUAAAGGCAAAAGGGGGCUUGACUGCAAGACCCACACA